GUGCCAGCCGCCGCGGUAAUACGGAAGGGGCGAGCGUUGCUCGGAAUCACUGGGCGUAAAGGGCGUGUAGGCGGUCUCGUAUGUCUGCCGUGAAAGCCCACGGCUCAACCGUGGAAGGUCGGUAGAAACCGCGAGACUUGAGGCUGGGAGGGGCCGGUGGAAUUCCCUGUGUAGCGGUGAAAUGCGUAGAGAUAGGGGAGAACACUCGUGGCGAAGGCGGCCGGCUGGACCAGUCCUGACGCUGAGGCGCGAAAGCGUGGGGAGCAAACAGGAUUAGAUACCCUGGUAGUCCACGCCCUAAACGAUGGGCACUAGGUGUCGGCGGUGUCAAGCCGUCGGUGCCGUAGCUAACGCAUUAAGUGCCCCGCCUGGGAAGUACGGUCGCAAGGCUGAAACUCAAAUGAAUUGACGGGG
Molecule: ribosomal RNA, 414 nt
Filed under: uncultured prokaryote
Description: bacterial SSU rRNA
Rfam family: Bacterial small subunit ribosomal RNA
Source: RNAcentral